UUUUUUUAUUUUUUAUUUUUUAUUUUUUUGCUUUUUUUUUUAGGGCUGCACUUGUGGCAAAUGGAAGUUUCCAAGCUAGAGGUCAAAUCAGAGCUUUAGCUGCUGGCCUACACCACAGCCACACAAUGUGGUAUCUGAGCCAAGUCUGCCACCUACCUGGAAAUACUGGAUCCUUAACCCUCUGAGUGAGGCCAGGGAUCAAACCCACAUCCUCAUGGAUCCUAGUCAGGUUUGUUACCCCUGAGCCAUAACAGGAACGUCCUCUUUUGUCUCUUUAGGUAGGUUUAUUCCUAGUAUUUUAUUCUUUUUCAUGUGAUGAUAAAUGGGAUUGCUUCCCUAAUUUCUCUUUCUGAUCUCUCAUUGUUAGUGUAUAGAAGUGCAGUUGAUUUCUGUGUAUUAAUUUUGUAUCCUGCAACUUUACCAAUUCAUUGAUAAGCUCUAACAGUUUUCUGGUAGUAUCUUUAGGAUUUUCUGGGUAUAGUAUGUAGUAUGUCAUCUGCAAACAGUAAUAGUUUUACUCUUCCUUUCCAAUUUGGAUUCUUUUUCUUUUUCUUCUUUGAUUGUCAUGGCUAGGACUUCCAAAACUGUUGAAUAGUAGUGGUGAGAGCAGACAUCCUUGUCUUGUUUCUGAUCUUGAGGGAAAUCUUUCAGCUUUUCACCAUUGAGAAUGAUGUUAGCUGUGGGUUUGUCCUAUAUGGCCUUUAUUAUGUUGAGGUAGUUUCCCUCUAUGCCCACUUUCUGGAGGGUUUUUUAAUGAGAAAUGUGCGUUAGAUUUUGUCAAAAGCCUUUUCUGCAUCUAUUGAGAUGAUCAUAUGAAUUUUAUUCUUCAGUUUGUUAAUGCAGUGUAUCACACUGACUGAUGUGUGGAUAUUGAAAAUCCUUCCAUCCCUGUGAUAAGUCACAUUUGAUCAUGAUAUACAAUCCUUUCACUGUAUUGCUAGAUUUCGUUUGCCAGUAUUUUGUUGAGGAUUUUUUCUUCUCUUUCUUUUCUUUUCUUUUCUUUUUUUUUUACAAAAUAAAAUACAUAUAUUUAAACACAAUUGUAUUCACACAGAUUAUUAUAUCAUGGAUCUUAAGAAAUAGAUUAAGUGACUCCCUCUGGAGAAGUGGAAUGGAAAAUAUGCUGAGACAAAUAGGAAAUUUAUUCUAUACUUUAUCUCAUUUUGUAUGGCUUUCAUCUUUACUAUUUAGUAUUAUCUAUUACAUUUCAAUUUUUCUUUAAAAAUGAUCAAUAUAUUAACAGUGUGUAUAUUAUGUAACUAAAAUUUAUAAAGAAAGCCUUAUAUACCAUUAAAUAUUUUAUAUAGCAUAAUAAAAAGAAUAACUUAACUGGUAAAAAUAACAAAAAUAAUACACCCUCUGAAAAUAAGUAAAAUAUAAAAUGCAUAAAUUGGUUGAAAAACAGUGUAACUAUAUAAAUAUGUCUUCACAAUUUGUUACAUCUUAUUGAUUCUUCAAUACAGGCAUCACAUCAUUCUAGGUGAUGUGAUAAACAAGACAUUAUAGACCUUACAUUGUACCAUGGAGAGAAAUGGUUAUUAAUAAUACAAUUGUAGAACUGUAUUAUUUAAUUGUACAGUUGCAUUAUCUAAUUAUAAUUAGCAUAAAUUCUUUGAUGGAGAGGAAAUCAGAAUCAGCAUUCCAAGAAUGAUGUCAAAUGACCCCCUUCAUGAUGGAUUAUGUGCUUAUUUACUAUGAGAUAUAUUUCUUCUUCAGAGAUUCCUUGUUUGUGUAUCAAUUGUAGAUUUUUGGUUUGCAGUUAUUCUCAAGUUUUGAUAUAAGAGUCUAUAUGUAUAUGAGAUUGUUUUAAGUUGUUCUCUUAAAACAAAGAGAACAACAUUCCAAGAAUGUUGUCAAAUGACCCCCUUCAUGAUGGAUUAUGUGCUUAUUUACUAUGAGAUAUAUUUCUUCUUCAGAGAUUCCUUGUUUAUCAAUUGUAGAUUUUUGGUUUGCAGUUAUUCUCAAGUUUUGAUAUAAGGGUCUAUAUGUAUAUGAGAUUGUUUUAAGUUGUUCUCUUAAUUGCAAGUUCAUCUGCAGUGUCCUGCAUUUGUACCCACCUCUUCUCAUGCUUUCUGAUUUUGGCGGUAUAAUUGUGCAUAGAUGAUUUCGUAUCUUUACUGUAUAUAUACCUUUACUGGUGAACCUUGUCAUUUGUGGAAUUUUUGUUUCCUGUUUCUGUCUUUUCUUUUCUGCCUAGAGAAGUUCCUUUAGUAUUUAUUGUAAGGCUGGUUUAGUGUUGCUGAAUUCUCUCAACUUUUGCCUAUCUGUGAAGGUUUUGAUUUCUCCUUCAAAUAUGAAUGAGAGCCUUGCUGGGUAAAGUAGUCUUGGUUGGAGGUUUUUUCCUUUCAUCACAUUAAGUAUAUCAUGUCACUCCCUUCUAGCCUGCAGAGUUUCUGCUGAAAAAUCUGCCAGUAACCUUAUUGGGGUUCCCUUAUAUGUUAUUUGUUUCGUUUCCCUAGCUGCUUUCAAGAUUUUGUCUUUAAUUUUGGUGAGUUUGAUUAAUAUGUGUCUCGGUAUAUUCCUCCUUGGGUUUAUUUUAUAUGGUACUCAUCAUGCUUCCUGGAUGUGAGUGAGUGGUUCCUUUCCCAUGUUAGGGAAGUUUUUGGCUGUUAUCUCUUAGAAUAUUUUUUCUGUCCCCUUCUCUCUCUCUCCUCCUUCUGGCACCCCUAUAAUACGGAUGUUGUUGUGUUUCACGUUGUCCCAGAGUUCUCUGAGACUCUCUUCAUUUCUUUUCAAUCUUUUUUCUCUCUUCUGUUCUGCAUCUGUAAUUUCCACUAAUCUGUCCUCCACCUCACUUAUUCGUUCUUCUGCCUCCUAUAUUCUGCUGUUAGCUGCUUCUAGUGAAUGUUUUAUUUCAGUUACUGUAUUUUGCAUCUCUUCUUGUUUAAGUUUUAUAUCUCAUAUCUCUUUGGUCAGUGUUUCUUGUAAGUUAUCCAUCUUUGCCUCCAGUAUAUUUCCAAUGUCUUGCAUCAUCUUCAGCAUCAACAUUCUAAAGUCCUCUUCCCCGGAGGCUAAGAAUCUCCUCCUCGCUUAGCUGAUUUUCUGGGGUUUUUCUUUCUCCCUCAUCUGAGUUAUAGUUCUCUGUCUUUUCCUUUUUAUAGGUUUUUGAUGUGGUGACCUUUUUACAGAUAAUAGGGUUGUAUCCUCUCUUACUUCUGGUGUCUGCCCCCCUUGUGGCUGAAGUCGGUAUGGGGGCUUGCUGUAGGCUUCCUGAUGGGGGGGAGGCGGAGCUGAUGCCUGCCCACUGGUAGGUGGAGGUGAUUCUAAUCCCUCUGGUGGGUGGGGCUUAGUCUCUGGAUGGGAUUAGAGGCAGCUGUGUGCCUGAGGGCUCUUUAGGUAGCCUGUUUACUUAGGGGCGGGGCUGUGAUCCCACCUGAAUUGUUGUUUACCCUGGGGCUUCUCAGCACUGACUGACCAGUGGGGCCAGAUUUUCCCAAAAUAGCCACCUCCAGAGAAAGGCACAGUUCCCAAGAGGUUUGCUUCCAAUGUCCUUCCCCCACAACAAGCCACAUUCACCCCUGUUUUCCCAGGAUGUCCUCCAAGAACUGCAGUCAGGUUUGACCCAGAUUCCUAUGGAGACCUGGCUCUGCCCAGGGACUCAGUGCACGUUAAAGUCUGUGUGUGCCUUUUAAGAAUGGGGUCUCUGUUUCCCCCAGUCCUGUGGAGCUCCUGCACACAAGCCUCACUGGCCUUCAAUGCCAGAUGCUCCAGGGGCUCUUUCUCCCAGUGCCAGAUCCCCGUGUGUGAGGGUUUGAUGUGGGGCUCAGAACUCUCACUCCUGUAGCUGAGUCUCUCUGAACCAGUUUUCAGUGUGGAGCUUCCCACCCAGGAGGUAUGGGGUGGUUUAUAUCACAAAAUCACCCCUCCUACCUCUUGAUGUGGCCUUCUCUUUUUCUUCUGGAGUAGGGUAUCUUUUUUAAGGUUUCAGGUCCAUUUGGGUGGAGAUUGCUCACCUUUUAGUUGUGAAUUUUGUUAUUUUUAGGAGAGAAGUUGAGCUCCAGUCCUUCUGUUCUGCCGUCUUAAUCCUCCUCGUUUUUAUGUCUAUGUUCAUCAUUGAUACUGGAAGGUUAUUUUCUUUUUUGUGGUAUCUUUGUCUUGUUUUGGUAUCAGGGUCAUGGUGGCCUCAUAGAAUGAGUUUAGGAGUGUUCCUUUACUGUUUUUUGGAAUAGUUUCAGAAGUAUAGGCAUUAACUUUUCUCUAAAUUUCUGAUAAAAUUCACAUGUGAAGCCAUCUGGUCAUGGAUUUUUGUUUGUUGGAAGUUUUUGAAUCAAAGUUUCAAUUUCAGUACUUGUGAUUGGUCUGUUCAUCUUUUCUAUUUCUUCCUUAUUUAGUAUUGGAAGAUUGUACCUUUCUAAGAAUGUGUCCAUUUCUUCUAGGUUGUCCAUUUUGUUGGCAUAUAGUUGUUUGUAGCAGUUUCUUUUGCUCCUUUGUAUUUAUGUGAUGUCUGUUUUAACUUCUCCUUUUUCAUUUCUAAUUUUAUUGAUUUGAGUCCUCUCUUUUUUCUUCAUGUGUCUGGCUAAAGGUUUAUCAAUUUUGUUGAUCUUUUUCAAGAACCAGCUUUUGGUUUCAUUGAUCCUUUCUGUCGUUUUCUUUGUGUCUAUUUCAUUUUUUUCUGCUCUGCUCUUUAUGAUCCCUUUCCUUCUGCUAACUUUGGGUUUUGUCUGUUCUCUCUAGUUGCUUUAGGUGUAAAGUUGGGUUGUUUAUUGAUAUUUUUCUUGUUUCCUGAGGUAAACCUGUAUUGCUCUAAACUUCCCUCUUAAAAUGCUUUUCUGCAUCCCUUAGGUUUUAGAUUGUUGUGUCUUUGUUGUCAUUUGCUUCUAGGUAUUUUUGUUUCCUCUUUGAUUUCUUCAAUGAUCCAUUGGUUGUUUAGUAGCAUGUUGUUUGGUCUCCAUAUGUUUGUGUUUUUUGCAUUUUUUUUCUUUAUCCUUCAUCUACAUCAUAUUUCUCUGCCUUUUCAUUGUGUAUAUGUCUCCUUUUUGCAGCCUAAAUGGCUGUAGACUCUCUUGCUUCUGGUGUCUGCCCCCUUGUGGAUGACGUUGUUACAGGGACUUGUUUCAGGCUUCCUGAUGGAUAAGACUGGUGCCUGUCUCCUGGUAGGAGGAGCUGACUCUUAUCCCUGUGAUAGUUGGGACUUUGAGUGUGAUUGGAGGUGGCUUUGUGGCUAGGAGGACUUUAAGCAGCUUGUUUGCUGAUAGAUGGAGCUGUGUUCCACCCUGUUUGUUGUUUGGCUUGAGCUGUCUCAGUCUGGAUGGGUAGAGCCAGAUUUUUCCCAAGUAGCCACCUCCAGGGGCGUUCACACUGAUGAUUAUUCCUGAGACCUUUAUCUCCACGUCAUUCCCCCACAGCAAGCUAUAGCCAUCCUGUUUCCCUAGGAGAUCCUCCAAGAUCCGCAGGUUGGUCUGAUCCAGAUUUUUAUGGAAUCUCUGCUGUCCUUGGACCCAGUGCACAUGAAAGCAUGUGUUUGCCCUUCAAGGGUGAAGUCUCUGUUUUCCCCCAGUCCUGUGGACCUCCUGCACACAAGAUCUGCUGACCUUCAGUGCCAAACGCUCUAGGAGCUCCUUCUCCCAAUGCAGACCCCAGUUGUGGGAACGGACCUGGGGCUCAGAACUUUCACUCUUGUGGGAGAGACACUGCAAUAGUAAUUUUCCAGCCUGUGGGUUGCCCACCUGAUGGGUAUGGGAUUGCUUACAUUGGGAAAGCACACUUCCUACUGUCUUGAUGUGGCUUGUCUUUGUGUAUAGGAUAUCUUUUUUGGUAGUUUCCAGUCUGUACUGUUGAUGGUUAUUCAGCAGUUGGUUGUAAUUUUAUUGUUUUUGUGAGCUAAGGUAAGCUUAAGUCCUUCUAUUCCACCAUCUUAACCCUUCAACCUAAUCAUUCUUAACAUCAUUAAAUGUGAGUAAGCAUUAUGUGCUGCUUGAUUUGAUGCAGCAGGAAGUACCCAGCACUGCCUAUGAAAGUGUUUCUCGCCCAAAAUUUGGACUAGAAUCUAAUGAAGCCUGUAGAUAUAAACUACUAGUUUUGUUUUGUUUUUUUUUGGGGGGGGGUCUUUUUAGAGCUACACUAGCAGCAUAUGAAGGUUCCCAGACUAGGUGUCUAAUUGGAGCUGUAGCCACGGCCUACGCCACAGCACCUCGGGAUCUGAGUCACGUCUGUGACCUACACCAUAGCUCAUGGCAAUGCCGGAUCCUUAACCCACUGAUCGAGGCCAGGGAUCUAACCUGCGUUGUCAUGGACGCUAGUCAGAUUCAUUUCUGCUGAGCCUCAACAGGAACUACUAAACUACCAGUUUAUAUGAAAUAAAAAAAAGAUAAGUAAAUGCCAACUCUCAGAAGUAACCAUCUAAACCCAAAUGAUGUCCUGUACUUUUUUUUUUCUUCUUUUAGGGCCACGCCUUUGGCAUAUGGAAGUUCCCAGGCUAGGAGUGGAUCAGAGCUACAGCUACCAGCCUGUGCCAUAGAGACAGCAAUGUGAGAUCUGAGUCACUUCUGAGACCUAUGUCGCUGCAGCUCAUGGCAACACCAGAUCCUUAACCCACUAAGCAAGGCCAGGAAUCAAACCCACAUCCUCACGGAUACUAGUUGUGUUCUUAACCCUCUGAGCCAUCCAGAGGGUGGAUCUAUUCUAUAGACAACUGGUCCUGUUU
This 6643-nucleotide long non-coding RNA is filed under the name Sus scrofa (pig). RNAcentral's name for it is "lncRNA (ENSSSCG00000052949.1)". The record is from RNAcentral. Lineage: Eukaryota; Metazoa; Chordata; Mammalia; Artiodactyla; Suidae.